UAACGCGUGGGUAACCUGCCUUAUACAGGGGGAUAACAGUCAGAAAUGGCUGCUAAUACCGCAUAAGCGCACAGAGCUGCAUGGCUCAGUGUGAAAAACUCCGGUGGUAUAAGAUGGACCCGCGUUGGAUUAGCUUGUUGGUGGGGUAACGGCCUACCAAGGCGACGAUCCAUAGCCGGCCUGAGAGGGUGAACGGCCACAUUGGGACUGAGACACGGCCCAG
Molecule: ribosomal RNA, 223 nt
Filed under: uncultured bacterium
Lineage: Bacteria
Description: partial 16S ribosomal RNA
Rfam family: Bacterial small subunit ribosomal RNA
Source: RNAcentral